UUUGUGGUAAAGCAGAGUGCUCACUAUAAUGUGGGUGGGACUUAUCUGAUCAGUGAAAGGCCUAAAUAGAACAAAAGGCUGACCUCCUCUGAGCAAGAGAAAAUUCUCCAGCAGACUGCCUCAGACUUCAUCUGCAACAUUGCCUUGUACUAGUUCUACAGUAGAUUGCCUUUCAACUUGAAUAGCAACGUUUUCCUGAGUCCCCAGCCUGCUGGCCUCUCCUAUCAGAUUUUGGACUUGCCAAACCUCUACAGUCUGCCUGCAUUGGCCCAAAAUUCAACUCUUAUUUUAGUUUUCUACCUCACUGCAAUACCUUCUGAACAUCUUUACAAUGUCAGCAUCCAAUUUCACACUGUGGCUUCAUACCAUAGGUGACCAGGUUGCCACCCAGGAAUCAAAAAUUCCUCACCGGAUGUGGAGAAAUAGGAAUGCUUUUACACUGUUGAUGGGAGUGUAAAUUAGUUCAACCAUUGUGGAAGACAGUGUGGCGAUUCCUCAAGGAUCUAGAACUAGAAAUACCAUUUGACCCAGUGAUCCCAUUACUGG
RNAcentral lists this long non-coding RNA (546 nucleotides) under Homo sapiens (human). Its description in RNAcentral is "HSALNT0011619". The record is from RNAcentral. Lineage: Eukaryota; Metazoa; Chordata; Mammalia; Primates; Hominidae.